UACGUAGGGGGCAAGCGUUAUCCGGAUUUACUGGGUGUAAAGGGAGCGUAGACGGUAUGGCAAGUCUGAAGUGAAGGCCCAGGGCUUAACCCUGGGACUGCUUUGGAAACUGUUAGACUAGAGUGCUGGAGAGGUAAGCGGAAUUCCUAGUGUAGCGGUGAAAUGCGUAGAUAUUAGGAGGAACACCAGUGGCGAAGGCGGCUUACUGGACAGUAACUGACGUUGAGGCUCGAAAGCGUGGGGAGCAAACAGG
RNAcentral lists this ribosomal RNA (253 nucleotides) under uncultured bacterium. RNAcentral's name for it is "partial 16S ribosomal RNA". It matches the Rfam family "Bacterial small subunit ribosomal RNA", at positions 524 to 776 of the family's 1533-position model. The record is from RNAcentral.